AAAACGGUCCUUUUCAGGACCACAAAGAAUAAAAUAAAGAGUUUA
Molecule: non-coding RNA, 45 nt
Organism: Lutzomyia longipalpis
Lineage: Eukaryota; Metazoa; Arthropoda; Insecta; Diptera; Psychodidae
Source: Rfam